Corvus hawaiiensis (hawaiian crow) is the source of this 2722-nucleotide RNA transcript. It is a transcript of the gene named NADH:ubiquinone oxidoreductase complex assembly factor 1, with no coding region annotated. The record is from RefSeq and is a predicted model, not a curated record. Lineage: Eukaryota; Metazoa; Chordata; Aves; Passeriformes; Corvidae. The transcript is spliced from 5 exons.
AGCCGGGCCGGGGUGGAAGCCGAGGCGUCGCAGCUGCCGGGCCGUGCUUCGUGCUGGCGCUGCACCGGCGGGCUGCUAAAGCCUUGCCGAGGGACAAAGACCGGGCUAAAGUAGAAUAUGUUCAGAUUCCCCGUUUUCUUCUUGUACUCGGGUGAAGCAAUGAGGAGACAGGGUUUCUUGAUUGGGAACUUGCCUCCGAUCUUGUGAAGUGCAGGACAGAGCAAAAUGUGAAUUUCUUCAGUAUAGCUUUAGACAUAACUUAAUUAGGUGUGAGAAUAACAGUAGUGGAUUUUACCGUGGGUAAAGGAAGGUAAGUGACAUACAGAGGAUAUAUGUGGGGUGCCUGACUUCAUUCUUAAAAGCUCAGAGGAGUUGAAUGCAUGUGACAUCAUUUUUGGAUUUGUUCUGUGACAUAAAAAAAAAAACCAACACCAACAAUAAAAUAUCUUUAAUUUUACAAGUAAGGAAAAUCGCCUCUGUAUAGGGCAUUGAGCAGAGUUUUCCUGAAGACUUAUUUAAGAAAACCCUAUUGAAUUGCAGUCUUCCAUGUUAAACUUUUUGGUCUUUGCAAAUGUCUCUGUAAUCCUAAAACAGGUAUAUUGAGGAUGAUAUGGAAGAAGCAUGUGGUAUGGUUGCUGCAGGACGUCAUACCUGAAAAGUCUUGUCAUCUGUGUCAGCUGAGAUUGUAAUUUUUAUCUGUGUGGCAGCAGGGUCUGCCUGUUGUGAAUUUGUGAUUUUCAUGCAGAGGAUAAUACUUUUUAGUUAUAUAGGUGUCAUCUUUUAGAAACCUUCAUAGGUUGUUCUUGCUGGUAUUAUUCAUAACACCUAAACUUAUUUACAGUGGAAGGGAUAAAGAGAAACUGAUUUUCUUUUCUAUUUUCAGUUUUAUUUGAAGUCUUUUACUUGGGUUUUCUUAUUUGUGUGGGGAUUUCACACCAUGGGAAGAGAGGAAAGCAUAGGGUGGAAGUCAAUAAGUAAAUUAGAGCUCUGAGGAAGUGUAAUUCCUGAUGGUUUUUUUCAUUCCUUUUUCCAAUUACUUGGAUUUCUAGCUAAUUUCACUUAUAAAAGUUAAAUAGUUUCACAAGCAUCCCAUAUGUAAUCUUUUAUAACCUUUUCUCUUUUUCAUUGAAGGUGAAGAUCAACUACAGUAACUACAGUAAGAUAGCUCUGAAUACUAGUUUUCUUGUUAAUUAACUUUCAGCCCAUUAAUUGCCUUACUAGAUGUGAAUUCUUCAAGUUUAUCAGUAUGGCUCUGACUGUAAUGCUGCUGAAUGGUACUUCCUUCCGUGGUGGAUGCUGCAGGCACAAAGUUUUGCUCUCCUUACUUGGACCUUUCCUCAGCAAUUCAAAAUUGUACAGCAGCUACAGGAGGCCAGGGGCAGAGCCUGAGAAAAAACUGUCUUGGCAGAAUGCUGAUUUCAGCUUUAAGAAGGGCAUUGAUCACCUAAAGACUCAGCUAAGCUUGCUGAAGAAGGAAACCCAAGAUUAUUUACUAGGACCUGGAGGCCAUCCAUUAAGUCAGCACUUGUUGGAACAAACAAAGGUGUUGUGGCAGUUUCGGAGCCAAGAAGAUUUAAAUGAAUGGGUUAUUUCCUCUGAUGUAGAGAUUGGAGGGAAAAGUAAAAUUUACCUCAAAUUGGGUAGGAAUAACCAGGCUGCUCUGCUGUAUGGAACCCUCAAUACAGAAGUACCUCGUGAUGGGGAGACAAAAUACAGUGGAUAUUGCAGUAUGAGAUCCAGACCGGCAGUGGGAUCUUUUAACAGGAAGAAGUAUUAUGACUGGUCAAACUUCAACAGUCUGUAUUUACGUGUCCGUGGUGAUGGCAGACCUUGGAUGGUAAACAUUUAUACAGAUCCUUACUUCUCUCACCAAAAGGAUGACCUCUACAGCUACUUCAUGUUCACCCGAGGAGGCCCAUACUGGGAGGAAAUAAAGAUUCCAUUCUCCAAAUUCUUUCUCUCCAGUCGGGGAAGAGUCCAGGAUAACCAGCAUCCUGUCUGGUUAGACAAGAUUAGAACCCUUGGAUUCACCAUUGGAGAUAAAGUAGAUGGUCCAUUCCAGCUGGAGAUUGAUUUUAUUGGUCUGCUAAAGGACAGAGCUCAUAGAGAAGAGUUCGCCUAUGAAACACAUGACAAGAACACUCCAGUCUAAGUUGGGCUGGUGUCCUUUAUAAAUUCUUUAGAUACUUGGUUUAUUUUUAUAAAAUACUUCUUAACAUGUGGCUUUUAACAACUCGAAGAGCCUGUGUAAACAUUAAAGAGAUGAGUGCAUGAAGCGUGACAGCACUGGCAUCUUUGAACUCUCAGAGACAGAAUCCUGGAGAGACUGUACAUACAUGGACUGCAACAUAGCCUUAGAGGAGCUGUGAUGUUCUUACAAAGUAGUAACUCUUCCCUAGGGAAAAGCAAAUUCUGAGUUACCAGACUCUGCUGAAAAAUUAUCUACAAAGCAGGCAAGAAGAAAGGAAAACAAACAGUGCAUCAGAAGCAUAUGGCCUCUUCAAGUUUUCUCCCUUCUAUUUUUCCUCUUUAAAAGCUUAUUUUAAAUGUAAAUAGUUUUUUUAUUAUUAUUAAACUGACCUGACAACACAUACCUUAGAAUGUGGAGUGUCUUUUUCUGAUACUCUUAAGAGAAUUGAUUUUCUGACCAUUGGCACCUGCCAAUAGUAAUUUGUCUGAAGUACACAAUGAUGCAAUAUAUGGCAUUAAAAAAAUAAAUGUA